GCGGCAAUAGCUCAGUGGUAGACCCCCGCUUCGCGGGCGGGGAGACCCGGGUUCGAUUCCCGGCUGCUUCC
Toxocara canis (dog roundworm) is the source of this 71-nucleotide transfer RNA. It matches the Rfam family "tRNA". From Rfam's summary of the family: Transfer RNA (tRNA) molecules are approximately 80 nucleotides in length. Their secondary structure includes four short double-helical elements and three loops (D, anti-codon, and T loops). Lineage: Eukaryota; Metazoa; Nematoda; Chromadorea; Rhabditida; Toxocaridae. The record is from Rfam.